UUCCAGACUCCUACGGGAGGCAGCAGUGGGGAAUAUUGCACAAUGGGGGAAACCCUGAUGCAGCGACGCCGCGUGAGUGAAGAAGUAUUUCGGUAUGUAAAGCUCUAUCAGCAGGGAAGAAAAUGACGGUACCUGACCAAGAAGCCCCGGCUAACUACGUGCCAGCAGCCGCGGUAAUACGUAGGGGGCAAGCGUUAUCCGGAUUUACUGGGUGUAAAGGGAGCGUAGACGGCUGAGCAAGUCAGAAGUGAAAGCCCGGGGCUCAACCCCGGGACUGCUUUUGAAACUGCGGAGCUGGAGUGCAGGAGAGGUAAGCGGAAUUCCUGGUGUAGCGGUGAAAUGCGUAGAUAUCAGGAGGAACACCAGUGGCGAAGGCGGCUUACUGGACUGUAACUGACGUUGAGGCUCGAAAGCGUGGGGAGCAAACAGGAUUAGAUACCCGUGUA
Molecule: ribosomal RNA, 446 nt
Filed under: uncultured bacterium
Lineage: Bacteria
Description: bacterial SSU rRNA
Rfam family: Bacterial small subunit ribosomal RNA
Source: RNAcentral